GUGGGGAAUAUUGCACAAUGGGCGCGAGCCUGAUGCAGCCAUGCCGCGUGUGUGAAGAAGGCCUUCGGGUUGUAAAGCACUUUCAGCGAGGAGGAAGGGUUCAGUGUUAAUAGCACUGUUCAUUGACGUUACUCGCAGAAGAAGCACCGGCUAACUCCGUGCCAGCAGCCGCGGUAAUACGGAGGGUGCAAGCGUUAAUCGGAAUUACUGGGCGUAAAGCGCACGCAGGCGGUUUGUUAAGUCAGAUGUGAAUCCCGC
Molecule: ribosomal RNA, 258 nt
Filed under: uncultured bacterium
Lineage: Bacteria
Description: partial 16S ribosomal RNA
Rfam family: Bacterial small subunit ribosomal RNA
Source: RNAcentral